Long non-coding RNA from Canis lupus familiaris (dog), 1073 nucleotides. RefSeq lists it as uncharacterized. NCBI's taxonomy places the organism in Eukaryota, Metazoa, Chordata, Mammalia, Carnivora, Canidae. The record is from RefSeq and is a predicted model, not a curated record. The transcript is spliced from 3 exons.
ACAGCUGCAAACAGAAAUAGGUGUCCGUUCCGAUGGCAGAGCCAGGAAUAAGCUCAAAGAACAUCUACCCUCAUUCUGUACAAGGGGACCCAAGGCCAGAAGAGUGGCCAUGGAGCAGAAUGAGGUGGACAGCACUGAAGGCCAGCGCUGCCAGUUCCCAGCAGGCACCUUCCCAGGCCUUGUCGCCAACUGGAGGCUGCUGGCCAGUGCAGCUGAGGAAUGAACUCACUGCAGAGAACUGAAGAUCGACCCUGGCAGCCCUUCUGGAACAUCUUCAUCUCAAAGGGGCUCUGUUGGAGAGGCAGGGCCAUAGACUAGAGGACUACACAUCUGGUGUUGGGAAGGUGGGCCCCGAAGCCAGCUAAUGAUGGGUGGACCUUGAGCCGAGAGGUGACAGGAACUGGGGGGAAGUCUGCUGAGUCUCCUGGGCGAAACUGCCCAUUUGAUGUCUUUGGAUGUGUGAGGACCUGCUGUCUAGCGCUGUGGCAGUCAUCUUGUGACCAUGAGGAAACAAGCCCAAGGAGGUAGCCAUGGUGUCAGUCCAGUCUGUUCCUGCUUUCCCAGGAAGGAGCAGGGAGUCACAUCUCCUUCCUUGUGCCUUUCCAGCAGAUGGUCUCUACCCUACAGCGUGAGCUUGCUGAAGGUGUUUGCUCUGCAGCAGACCCCCCCUCCCCCCGAAUCCCAGGCAAGGUACCACGGUGCCACUUCACUUGUCCACUCCUUCUAACACCAGGAGUCCUGCAACAAUGUCGCAGACCGGGAGGCUGUGUAGCCAGCAAGGCACUGCAAAGGGGGCUUGGGUGCCCCCCAUGCCCCACCCCAACCAAGGCAGAAGGAGGCCCCAAGCCAGCUUAGCUGUUCCCCCAUUUCUCCAUCUACUUCUACUGCUGCUGCUACUGGUUCAAAAAAUAAAAUAAACACCAUCUCUGCCAAAAAAAAAAAAAAAGUCGGGGGGGGGGAACAACAAUAAAAAAUUUAAUAUUCCUGAGAUGUAGGUCUUCUCAAACAGGAGGCAGCUGCUAGAGACGAGUUUGGCAGAGGCAGGGGUGGGCUUUUUUUCUAAGUAUUUUCCA